Molecule: ribosomal RNA, 253 nt
Filed under: uncultured bacterium
Lineage: Bacteria
Description: partial 16S ribosomal RNA
Rfam family: Bacterial small subunit ribosomal RNA
Source: RNAcentral
UACGAAGGGGGCUAGCGUUGCUCGGAAUGACUGGGCGUAAAGAGCUCGUAGGCGGUUUGUUGCGUCGGCUGUGAAAUCCCGAGGCUCAACCUCGGGUCUGCAGUCGAUACGAGCAAACUAGAGUGUUGCAGGGGAGACUGGAAUUCCUGGUGUAGCGGUGAAAUGCGCAGAUAUCAGGAGGAACACCGGUGGCGAAGGCGGGUCUCUGGGCAACAACUGACGCUGAGGAGCGAAAGCGUGGGGAGCGAACAGG